UGAGUUGUACGUGACUGUUCUAUGUGAGAUAUAGAAGUUAAGGGGAAGAAAUAUUAAAGACGUGCAAGGAAAAGCUAUCAGAAAUCCACAGGACCACCUUUGGAAAAAGAAAUCUGUUAGAUUGUUUGGACCUCACAGAAAAAUGAUGAGCAUCUAGGAAUCAAGCUGUGGAGGAACUGCGGCUUCUAGAGAUGCACUGGGUGGUUACACCAGAAAUGCUGUCCUGCACCUGAGAAGCAUUAUGGAUCAAAAGCACUGGAGGACUGUUCCGUGUUAAAUUUAAUUUUCAUAGCAAGAUUUUCAAAGCAGUCUUUAGG
Molecule: long non-coding RNA, 317 nt
Filed under: Anser brachyrhynchus (Pink-footed goose)
Lineage: Eukaryota; Metazoa; Chordata; Aves; Anseriformes; Anatidae
Description: lncRNA (ENSABRG00000004882.1)
Source: RNAcentral